CAGUCGCCGCGUUAAUACGUAGGGUGCAAGCGUUAAUCGGAAUUACUGGGCGUAAAGCGUGCGCAGGCGGUUAUAUAAGACAGAUGUGAAAUCCCCGGGCUCAACCUGGGAACUGCAUUUGUGACUGUAUAGCUAGAGUACGGCAGAGGGGGAUGGAAUUCCGCGUGUAGCAGUGAAAUGCGUAGAUAUGCGGAGGAACACCGAUGGCGAAGGCAAUCCCCUGGGCCUGUACUGACGCUCAUGCACGAAAGCGUGGGGAGCAAACAGGAUUAGAUACCCGCGUAGUCCCUGUCUCUUAUAU
RNAcentral lists this ribosomal RNA (301 nucleotides) under uncultured bacterium. Its description in RNAcentral is "partial 16S ribosomal RNA". It matches the Rfam family "Bacterial small subunit ribosomal RNA", at positions 509 to 809 of the family's 1533-position model. The record is from RNAcentral.